Molecule: long non-coding RNA, 7457 nt
Filed under: Malus domestica (apple)
Lineage: Eukaryota; Viridiplantae; Streptophyta; Magnoliopsida; Rosales; Rosaceae
Description: long non-coding RNA (MDOM_LNC002158)
Source: RNAcentral
ACCAUUCAUUCAUAUGCAUCAUAUCUCAAUUCAUACUUUUCAUAUCAUUUCAUGCAUGGCAAUUCGAUUCACAUUUCUAUAUACUUUUCAUAUACUUUCAUGCAUGACAUUUCAACUAAUAUAUCUCAUAUACUUUUAUACAUUUUCAUUAAAAGCAUAAUUUCAUGCAUUUUCAAUUUCUAGGAAACGGCAAGUAUAUAUGUAUACGGAAAACAAAACUGCCCACUCACCUGGAGUUCGUCCAACAACUCCCUAGCACCACACAUCAAGGCGUCACGACGAUCGCCGCCUAGAAUAGUAAUCAAAUCCAACCUCAGAAUUCAUAUCGAUAGAAUAUAACUUAUAUAAAAUACGUCACUACGUAGAUCGAUCCGGAAGAUCUGCCACUCAGAUUUUAAAUCCAUAACUUCCAGAGGUCCACAAUAUAUCUCUAGGAUAACAUCCUAAAAUUUCAUUACCAUCCAACGGUCGGAUCUCCGUCAAUUUCCAAAACUAAGUGACGGUUAACAUUCUAUAUUAUGGACUUACAACUCCAAUUUCGGAAGAUCCGCAAAUCGGAUUCCCAAUCUGUAAGUUCCUAUAAUCCUCAAAUAUUACGUAUUACAACGUAUCAAAGUUUGGUGAUGAUCCAACGGUCGGAUCAUCAAUUCAUAUUUUCACUUAAAUGCAAAAACUAUAAAACGUUAUUUGAACACCUAACCAACAAUCCUUAAUAACUUUCUCAUACGGUGCUCAAAUUGGGUAUACGAAUAUACCACAGUGAUCUACUCGACGUCACGGACGUCGACAUAUUUUUCAAAUAAUUUUUUACUGUAGCACGCGCCCCCACGCGCCAAGGAAGGCACGGACCUACGCGCCCCCACGCGCACCUUCUUCUUCCUUGGGUCGCCGGACUGGUUUUUCCGGCGGCCGUUUUUCAAAUUGCCAUAACUUUGUCAUUUCUCAACGAAAUCAAGUGAUUCCAAAACGAAAGUUGUAGCCCUUGAAGAUACAAAGAGAAUGGUACCUUGCACAACACCUAGUUCGCCGUGGUUUGGCCGGAAACUGCCUCGAAAGCCUCGGAGGUCGCCGGAAACUGGGUAUUUUUCAAAUGAGUAUAACUUCUUCAAUACUCAACGAAAUUGAGUGAAACAAAAAGGAAAGUUGUAGUACUUGACGAGACGAAGAGAUGGAUACCUACCUCGACUCCUAACUCGCCGGGGAUUCGCCGGAAAAAUCCUCGAAAGCUCCGGCCAAACUUUGAACUUGUCGAUCUCCGUGUUCUUACGUCCAAAAACUUCCAACGAAGCACUCCGAGCUUCCUUGGGACCUCACUAAGCUCGCUGUGAUCUUGUUUUAGCCUAAAUCGUAACCAUUUAAAAGAUCAUGAACAGUGCUCUUCCACGGGGAGUUUAGAAUCUAGGUUUUCCGAAGUAAAACUUACCUGAAAUUGGUGUCUACGUGAUCGUUGAGGUUCCAGGAGUUCAAUGGUGGUCUUAACUCCGUCGUUGGUAUAGAAGUUUAGUGUGGUUUUGGAGCUUGUCCGUGUGAGUUCGAAGGAGAGGGAGAGAGAACUGAGAGUUGCGUGAGGGAGGAGAGAGAGAGGGACAAGGUACGGGAAUUGGGGAAGGUUUUGAGGGAUGUGGGGAUCCCACGUGUCCAACUCAAUCCAAAUUGUUAAAUUUUCACCCCUUAGUCCCGUUUAAGGGCAUUUUCGUCUUUUCACGUCCUCGGAAUUAAAAUUCCGGGACGGGCUGUGACAAUCUUCCCUCCUUAUAGAAUUUCGUCCCCGAAAUUCCAGCAACCAACUAAAUCAACCAUACUCCAACAAUAGCUUCGGGUAAAUCUGUCUCAUCCGAUUCUCUUUCUCCCACAUAAUUUUCUACUGAAUGAUUCAUUCACAAAGCUUUUACUACUUACUCUGUCUUAAUUCUCAGGACCUUCUUUUUCCAAUCCAAAGUCGUCAUUGGUUCCUUAUCAAGUCGAAUCCAAUUUAAUUCUCAAUAGUUGCACCAGAAUCUCUUGUGACGAAUCUGCCACCUAGUGACAACGUAUCGAACCCAAAAUACAUUAAGUACCUUAGCCAACUCUGAAGACAUCACCACUUGUAUGCAACUUUAUUGAUUCCUUUAGUGAUAAAAAAAUGGUCUGAUGUGUCUAAAUCUUAUUUUGUCUCCUUUCCAACCCGAAUUAUACUUUUCUAUGGUGAACACUUCGAAAAUAUAAAACCAUUUGUCUUAUACACUCGAUUAGUGGCAUAUCCCUCUGUUAAUCUCUUUUGCCAUUCCUGGUUACUUUCAAGUUAACUUAAUCACCUGAAUACUUUGAGGAGACUCAUCCAUAGUCUCAGGGCCUACAAAAACUCUUUCGUGAUCAAAUCUUUUUCUAUUCAGAAGCAUUUCAUUCACACGACACGCUUCAGGGACCCUAUGGCGUUAUUUCGGAAACUGCGCACCCAACAUACUUAAGAAACUCAGCAGUUCCGUAAUCCAAUUCUCUUUUCCAUAAAACAAAUAAGUACUGUUACUCAACACUGGAGUAAAUGUACUAACUUGGUACAUUGACCAAUUAUCACUUCAAAUUCGAUCAUAACCAUCCUAUGUACAAGGAAACUUGUACACAUAAUCCAAAGUAAUAUCUUUCCAUUUCCACUGCGAAACAGAAAAUAGUUAUCCCAAUCCAAAGGUUUAUCUUUUUCUGCCUCAAUCUGCUGACCAAAUAAAACUGUCGAAUGGUAUGAUAAAUCUUAUUACUUUUGGAAUAUUACAGAAGUUGAACAGUGAACUUCGUCCAAUUUUUGCUUGCUUCAAAUCCUCAGCAUUAGGCACAUACUUUUUGUUUUCUUGUAUCCACAUACCAUUUGAUUCACGAAUCAUGUACUCAUUCUUUUUCCCUUCUUUCUCUGCCUUGGUUAAUUCUUAAAUUUCCUCGUCAAACAUUUAAGUUUCGAGUACGACCUUACCAAACAGGCCUAACUUGAAAUUUAACAAAUAUAACUUCUUCUCGAUCUUCCAUUCUUAAUUUUUCUUCCGUUGGUUUUCAAUCCACAAGAUGAUACUCUUGGCAAACGUGCCAGACAUUAAUCUUACUGUAGUCUUCUCACCAAGUGCUUCAGCUAGAACAAACUUUACGAUCACCCUGAUCGUACAAUCAUGUUCAUUAAGCAAUACAAUUCACUUUCGCUGCCUCAUAUCAAAAUCCUUCCAAGUAAUGGAUAUUGAAGACUUUUUGGAUUCGUAAAAAAAAUCUUGCAUUCUUACUAAAAUAUAAUGUCUCCAUAACUUCACAGCAAGGAUGGUAAUCGUGACUUCCAAAUCACCAGUAGGGUAAUUCAUCUUAUGAGGUUCCAUUUGUCGUGAAACGUAUGCAAUCACCCUAACAUUUGCAUUAAUACAUAUCCAAGAACAUUUAAUGUAACAUCACCAUAUACCGAUAAUUAUCGCUAUCUUCUGGGAAUAUUAAAAUACGUGCAUGAGUGAGGAAAUACUUCAGUUGUUGAAUCCUUUGCUCACAAUUUCCUUCCCACUCAUACAUAACCUCUUUUCUCAACAGUCUCGUCAAUGACAAAGCAAUGACUGAAAAAUCUUUCACAACCAUCCAAGAUAGCCUGGUAAGUUAAGAAAUUCCAAAUCUCAAUUACGACUCGUGGUUGUUCCAAUUCCUCAAUUUCUACUAUCUUUUAAGAAUUCAUUUGAAUACCUUAAGCAGAUAUACAAAUCUCAGAAUGCCACCUGAUUCAUCUAACUUUAGCAUUUGCUACUUAGCAUACAACCAACGUUCUCUCAAUCUUUGCUUCACCAACUUAAUAUGUUUACAUGCUUUGCUCUGGCUCAGAAUAUGCCAGAAUAUCUUCAAUGAAAAUGAUAUCAAGGCAUUAUUGGAAUACUUCAUCCAUCAACUCAUAAAACAGCAUGAGUAUCCAUAUAGCAUCACCAAACUUCAUCAAGACUAUAACGAGUCCAGAAAAACAAUCUUAGGAACAACGUUACUCAUAAUCUUCAAUUGAUAAUAAACAGACCUCAAGUCAAUCUUUGAAAAUAUACAAGCACCUUUGAACUGAUCAAAGGAGCGUCAAUACACCACAAUGGAUAACGGUUCUCAUUCGUUACCCGAUUCCAUUAUCUAUAAUCAAUGAACAAUCUCUAAGUCCAUUUCCUUUCUCACCAACAAACUGGUGCUCCUCAACAGUGUUGUACUAUGUUGAAUAAAACUUUUAUCAACCAAUUCUCUCAACUGAAUUUCCAAUUCCCUUAACUCAUCAUGAACCAAUCUUUAACAUAAAUUUAUACCCGGCAACAAAUCAAUAAUGAACCUCAUAUCUCUGCCUGAAGACAAUCCAGGUAUACUUUCAGGGAAGACAUCAAGAAAAGUCUAACCCCUUUUUCAUUUUUCACACUUCUCCGAGCAACAUCCUUUAGUACCACAUGAACUAAGUAUUUUUUUUUGACAUCCUUUCGAAAACAAUCUCUUUGCUCUCACAGCAUAAAUAACGGCCUGACUCAAUCCACUUUGCAUACUUACAAAAAUAAUCUCUGGUCAUCCAGAUCGAUGGAAAGUACUGGUUUCCCGUAACAUUCCAUCUAGUCACAACUAUAAACAAUCACUCUAAUGGAAUAAAAUUAAUUGACCCAAUACAUACUUUAUCAUUACUGAACAUUCUAAAUAAGUACAACACUAACAUAAAAUAAUUUACCGGGUUGCUUGCUUAACGAAUCCACGAAUAAGUUAUUAAUAUUACGGUCUGCAGCCCGCAAUACUGAUAAAUCAUUGUUGUCUCGAUAAGUAAGAAACCACUCUCAAAGAUAUAACAUUACUAUUUUGUCACUCAAUGAAAAAUACUUACACUCGUCUCAACUACAUUUAUUUACUACUCUCAAGGUAAUAACAUACAUAAUAAGAAAUAUAUCAGCCGAAGUCAACUAGAAUGACCAAUACGACUGAUUCAACUCUUAUCUCAAUAAUACGUCGGCCGGAUCCACUCCGCGUGGUCGGUACGGCCGAGCCUAUAACUCACCAAUUUCUCAUGUGUCAAUCGAAUCCACUUCUCAUGGUCUGUACGGCUGAACAUAUAACUCAUCAAAUCUCUCCGUACUCACGGUCAAUCCGACCAAACUACUAAAUCCAUAACUCUGCUGAAUCAACACUAUGAUAUCAUGGAAAAUUGUUGAGUACAACUGAUUCUAGGGACGAUUCACAAUUCUGUGUCCCCUCUGUUCACAUAAACACAUUCAUUAAUUUCACAUUUCCCAAAGUGUUAAUUUUUGUACCUGCUGCACAAGGUACAUUUCCUUUACUCGAGACACCUUGUCUCAAAUAUCUGGGAUUACCAGUAUAUCCAUCACUUUUACUCUGACCAGCGACAAUAAAACCUCAGCUGGAAGAAUUAAUUCUAGCUUCACUUCUUUUUAAACUCUGAAUCCUUCGAUAUUCUUGAUAUGACGAAUCAUUAACUUUAUCGUCUUCUUUUGAUUCCCAUUCAUUUCUUAUUCUUCUUUAUUCUCAUUGAUCAUGUUCUCAGAGUCCUCAAGGCUCAACAACAUCUUGUAUACUCCUGGUAAGAAGUACAAUGGAUAGUGGUCACCCAAAAUACCACUUCCCUUUUUGCCACCCAGCUUAAAACAAUAUAACACCUCCACCAAAUUAACAACAAUAUCUGGAUGGAACGAGGCAAGUCUGAAAACUUUCUAUAAUAUUCAUUUAUCGUCAACUUCCUUAAUUCACAUUUGCAAACUCUUGCUUACUACCAUCGAUAAAUGCCGGAGGGAUAAACUUUUCCUUAAACAAUUUUAAAUCGGCUGUUCCUCCGAUGACAACAAAUCAUACUCCUGUUUCCACCAGGAUACAAAUUCAUACCCAAAACCAGGUAGUCGUCUCGACCCCCCUGUCAGAAGGAAGAUUCCUUUGACUUGCAUAAUCUGAAACAUCUUUUCCAAAUGGUUAAACCGUUACUUCGCUCCCUCAGGUUCAUCAUUUCAUAAGGUGAUUCAAAUUCGACUCAUAACCCGUCUUAAAAUGUCCAUUUUUAUAAUAUACUGAAUCACCAUAAUAAUAGUUUUCCCUAAACCGCUAUAUUAGGGAGACUAAAUUCCUCUAACUAAGUGGCUUGCUACGAGGCGGUGUAGUUCUGACAGAAUUCACUAGAACUUCUCAAGAUGUCCAAGAUUGCAACCAUGCUCUGAUACCAACUGACACACCCCGUCCCGAAGGAGGGCAUGCUGGCCGUCACGUGAGAGUGACGUAACCAUUUGCACAGUACGGAAGCUUUAAGAUACAAUUUAUAAGUUGAUACACCCGAAGGUGAGUCCUAAUUUUGUCCAAUCUGUCAGAACACCGUCGAAUUCCUCGUAGUCACCACACCUUUGUGAUUCCUGAACCUGGAGGGGCGCAAAACCAAAAUUGAGUGGGUCAGUAAAACAAUUCUUUUCCAAAUCCAAACAUUUCUCAAAACGUUGUAACCCCUCUCCGUAAAACCUGUAUACUUUCCCCAGAAAUGUAAAAUAUAAAUAUACAUAUAUAUUCUCAAUACUUUAAUUCAUUAACUCAACAUUUUUUCUUUAUCAAUCAUGCCAUGCCAUGUCUAAUUCAACAGUUAAGUAUGGAUGCAUCAACAAUAAUCAUAUCAGGUGCAAGAAAGUAAUCAACCGGAGGCCCUCUAAUAGCCCUGUACGGUUGAACCUAGAGCUCAAAAUCUAUCACUAUCACUCUACCGGAGUCACCUCUGUGACCCGUCCGGCCUUCUGCACACAAGUUACGCUCUAGUGCUUUCUCAUCAAUCAUCUGUGCACAUAAUCUAAGGUCACCCACCAGUCGAAAUCUCACUAACACUCUUCGACUGGCCCGUCGCAACCCACUCCGCGUGGACUGUACGACCAGCAUCUACUUGGAUCCAAGGCGAGCGUGCGAUGCGGUGAAUACUAUAAGCACUAAACCAUGGUGCAGGAUUUGAGCUCAAUAUAUAUCAACAUCAUCAUAACAGUAAUUAAAUACUCACCUGAUACUCACCUGUGCGUCCGCCGCACCAUUCAUUCAUAUGCAUCAUAUCUCAAUUCAUACUUUUCAUAUCAUUUCAUGCAUGGCAAUUCGAUUCACAUUUCUAUAUACUUUUCAUAUACUUUUCAUGCAUGACAUUUCAACUAAUAUAUCUCAUAUACUUUUAUACAUUUUCAUUAAAAAGCAUAAUUUCAUGCAUUUUCAAUUUCUAGGAAACGGCAAGUAUAUAUGUAUACGGAAAACAAAACUGCCCACUCACCUGGAGUUCGUCCAACAACUCCCUAGCACCACACAUCAAGGCGUCACGACGAUCGCCGCCUAGAAUAGUAAUCAAAUCCAACCUCAGAAUUCAUAUCGAUAGAAUAUAACUUAUAUAAAAUACGUCACUACGUAGAUCGAUCCGGAAGAUCUGCCACUCAGAUUUUAAAUCCAUAACUUCCAGAGGUCCACAAUAUAUCUCUAGGAUAACAUCCUAAAAUUUCAUUACC